CGCGCACACGCUCACCUGCCCCCGCAGCAGGUGAACCGCGGACAUGACACCACAGCAGGUGGAGCGUCGCAAACGCGGCUGCUCCCCAGAAACUUUGACUAUUCCACCGCAACAAGCAUUAAUCACGCACGGUCCCGCAGUGCAAACGGCGAGUGGAGCUCGGAAUCUACACCAGAGUGAGGGGAGAAGACAGACGACAGUCGAAAGGAACGCGUGUCUGCAGGAAGUUCACCACGGGGAAAGCUUUUCUACACAUUUCAAACUAAAAACAACGAGGAGCCGCUCCUGAGGACAGCAGCUUUGCUGCCUCCUCCUUCCUAUAAUGGGGGCCACAUUAUCAUGCCCCCUUUUCAGCACGAGAGCGUUCUGGUCCCCCCCAGACGUGCCUCAACUACAAAAUACGGUCCAGUUGAACAAUCCAACCCUCUCUCCCUCUCGGCUCCCGCUGGCUGCCGCAGAUCACACGCAACUUGUCCACAAAGUCGGCAAAGCUGGAGGUUCUCACGCACACGCACACGCACCACCCACCUUGGCUGCCGCAGACGAGCACCCCGAGGAGGAAGGCGAGUUUCAGCAUCAUUCUGGAGGCAGGUUUGGGGCUGUCGGACGUUGUUUUCAGCUGCGGAAUAAAAAGGAUGUGAGCAGAGAAAAAAGCUGGGCUCCGCUCAUCCGCCGUGUCGAUCCUCCGCUGGCAAAUGCGCUGCCUCGGCUGCUUGAUGCCUUCCUGGACGCGCGCUCCCGCUCCAAGCGCGUUCACCGCGUGUGCGCUGCGCUGAGGACCCAGAUGCUCGUUUUGAAUGAUCCACCAGAAAGGACGCCCGUCUUGGAGGCUGCAACUCCCCACAGUUGCCAGGCUGAGUGAGGCAAUGAAAACACAAAGACACUCCCCAACAGCCAUCUCGAGGGCUGCUGGGAACUUACCUGAUUCUGACAGGCAGGGGGUUUUGUCACAACGUCAAGUGUGUCCUUUUCCUGGACAUCAUCACACACAGCGUGGAGAUGCAAAAGCAUGCACUUUAGACAAAAAUAAUCACUUCUAAUUACAUAAAUAAAUGAGGAAAUGUCAAAAGGGGAAAAAAAGGUAACAUGAACAGAUUUCGACAGGUCAGUAGGAACUGACUUUGUACCGGAAAAACAGUUCCAAAGGGCAGCACACAACAGCAUAUUUAUUCCUGUUUGCAAUGCCAGUGGGAUUACAGCUAUUAAAACUAAAUGUUUUAUAGAGAAACAGCUGUCACAUAAUCAUAUAUACAAGAAGUGACUCCCUCAUUUUAUUUAGUUCAUUGAAAAAGUAUAGAUUCUUCAUAAAUGAUAAAAUGAUUUCAUUAAUAGCUAAUGAGCACAAGGAGGAACUCCAGGUUAAAGGCUAAUUACGUGUGAACGUUGGGGAUACGUAUGCAGAUUGGUCCACUGAACAGCUUAGCAUGAAAACCCAAAGCCCAUGACCAUUUCAAGAGUAAAUAGGAUGCUUGGGAUCCACUUAAAUAAAUCAUACCAGUG
This 1500-nucleotide long non-coding RNA is filed under the name Takifugu rubripes (torafugu). RNAcentral describes it as "lncRNA (ENSTRUG00000031050.1)". The record is from RNAcentral. Lineage: Eukaryota; Metazoa; Chordata; Actinopteri; Tetraodontiformes; Tetraodontidae.